This 497-nucleotide ribosomal RNA is filed under the name uncultured bacterium. Its description in RNAcentral is "partial 16S ribosomal RNA". It matches the Rfam family "Bacterial small subunit ribosomal RNA", at positions 28 to 507 of the family's 1533-position model. The record is from RNAcentral.
GAUGAACGCUGGCGGCGUGCCUAAUACAUGCAAGUCGAGCGAACGGACGAGAAGCUUGCUUCUCUGAUGUUAGCGGCGGACGGGUGAGUAAAACGUGGAUAAAAUACCUAUAAGACUGGGGUAAAUUCGGGAAAACGGAGCUAAUAACGGCUUAUCUUUUGAACCGCAUGGUUCAAAAGUGACAGACGGUCUUGCUGUCACUUAUAGCUGGAUCCGCGCUGCAUUAGCUAGUUGGUAAGGUAACGGCUUACCAAGGCAACGAUGCAUAGCCGACCUGAGAGGGUGAUCGGCCACACUGGAACUGAGACACGGUCCAGACUCCUACGGGAGGCAGCAGUAGGGAAUCUUCCGCAAUGGGCGAAAGCCUGACGGAGCAACGCCGCGUGAGUGAUGAAGGUCUUCGGAUCGUAAAACUCUUUUAUUAGGGAAGAACAUAUGUGUAAGUAACUGUGCACAUAUUGACGGUACCUAAUCAGAAAGCCACGGCUAACUACGUG